RNAcentral lists this ribosomal RNA (252 nucleotides) under uncultured bacterium. RNAcentral's name for it is "partial 16S ribosomal RNA". It matches the Rfam family "Bacterial small subunit ribosomal RNA", at positions 1250 to 1500 of the family's 1533-position model. The record is from RNAcentral.
CAAGACUGUGAGGUGGAGCAAAACUCAAAAACUUGUCUCAGUUCGGAUUGUAGGCUGAAACUCGCCUACAUGAAGCUGGAGUUGCUAGUAAUCGCGAAUCAGCAUGUCGCGGUGAAUACGUUCCCGGGCCUUGUACACACCGCCCGUCACACCAUGAGAGUUGGCAAUACCCAACGUACGUGAUCUAACCCGCAAGGGAGGAAGCGUCCUAAGGUAGGGUCAGCGAUUGGGGUGAAGUCGUAACAAGGUAUC